Molecule: ribosomal RNA, 857 nt
Filed under: uncultured Streptococcaceae bacterium
Lineage: Bacteria; Bacillati; Bacillota; Bacilli; Lactobacillales; Streptococcaceae
Description: bacterial SSU rRNA
Rfam family: Bacterial small subunit ribosomal RNA
Source: RNAcentral
GCGGCGUGCCUAAUACAUGCAAGUAGAACGCACAGGAUGCACCGUAGUUUACUACACCGUAUUCUGUGAGUUGCGAACGGGUGAGUAACGCGUAGGUAACCUGCCUGGUAGCGGGGGAUAACUAUUGGAAACGAUAGCUAAUACCGCAUAAGAACAUUUACUGCAUGGUAGAUGUUUAAAAGGUGCAAAAGCAUCACUACCAGAUGGACCUGCGUUGUAUUAGCUAGUUGGUGAGGUAACGGCUCACCAAGGCAACGAUACAUAGCCGACCUGAGAGGGUGAUCGGCCACACUGGGACUGAGACACGGCCCAGACUCCUACGGGAGGCAGCAGUAGGGAAUCUUCGGCAAUGGGGGGAACCCUGACCGAGCAACGCCGCGUGAGUGAAGAAGGUUUUCGGAUCGUAAAGCUCUGUUGUUAAGGAAGAACGUGUGUGAGAGUGGAAAGUUCACACAGUGACGGUACUUAACCAGAAAGGGACGGCUAACUACGUGCCAGCAGCCGCGGUAAUACGUAGGUCCCGAGCGUUGUCCGGAUUUAUUGGGCGUAAAGCGAGCGCAGGCGGUUAGAUAAGUCUGAAGUGAAAGGCAGUGGCUCAACCAUUGUAGGCUUUGGAAACUGUUUAACUUGAGUGCAGAAGGGGAGAGUGGAAUUCCAUGUGUAGCGGUGAAAUGCGUAGAUAUAUGGAGGAACACCGGUGGCGAAAGCGGCUCUCUGGUCUGUAACUGACGCUGAGGCUCGAAAGCGUGGGGAGCGAACAGGAUUAGAUACCCUGGUAGUCCACGCCGUAAACGAUGAGUGCUAGGUGUUAGGUCCUUUCCGGGACUUAGUGCCGCAGCUAACGCAUUAAGCACUCC